Molecule: ribosomal RNA, 36 nt
Filed under: Ramonda myconi
Lineage: Eukaryota; Viridiplantae; Streptophyta; Magnoliopsida; Lamiales; Gesneriaceae
Also listed under: 4 other names
Description: partial 18S ribosomal RNA
Source: RNAcentral
CAGGUUUCCGUAGGUGAACCUGCGGAAGGAUCAUUG